Molecule: long non-coding RNA, 307 nt
Filed under: Lathyrus oleraceus (garden pea)
Lineage: Eukaryota; Viridiplantae; Streptophyta; Magnoliopsida; Fabales; Fabaceae
Description: Pisum sativum (pea) long non-coding RNA (PSAT_LNC026995)
Source: RNAcentral
UCUUGUCUUGGGGAAGACUUGGUGGAAUCUGAUGAUGCAAAACUUGGACACGUGGAAGGCAUGCGUGGGAAUCUUGCAGAAUAGGUGCAGGCUAGGUGGUAGUGUUGGCAUGCAUUGGUGCAGACUAGGUGGGAGUUGUCUUGUCUUGGGGAAGACUUGGUGGAAUCUGAUGAUGCAAAGGUGUGACACGUGGAAGGCAUGCGUGGGAAUCUUGCAGAAUAGGUGCAGACUAGGUGGUAGUGUUGGCAUGCAUUGGUGCAGACUAGGUGGGAGUUGUCUUGUCUUGGGGAAGACUUGGUGGAAUCUG